AACGAACGCUGGCGGCAUGCCUAACACAUGCAAGUCGAACGAGACCUUCGGGUCUAGUGGCGCACGGGUGCGGAACGCGUGGGAAGCUGCCCGUGGGUUCGGGAUAACAGUUGGAAACGACUGCUAAUACCGGAUGAUGACUUCGGUCCAAAGAUUUAUCGCCCAGGGAUGAGCCCGCGUCGGAUUAGCUAGUUGGUGAGGUAAGAGCUCACCAAGGCGACGAUCCGUAGCUGGUCUGAGAGGAUGAUCAGCCACACUGGGACUGAGACACGGCCCAGACUCCUACGGGAGGCAGCAGUGGGGAAUAUUGGACAAUGGGCGAAAGCCUGAUCCAGCCAUGCCGCGUGAGUGAUGAAGGCCUUAGGGUUGUAAAGCUCUUUUACCCGGGAUGAUAAUGACAGUACCGGGAGAAUAAGCCCCGGCUAACUACGUG
This 433-nucleotide ribosomal RNA is filed under the name uncultured bacterium. Its description in RNAcentral is "partial 16S ribosomal RNA". It matches the Rfam family "Bacterial small subunit ribosomal RNA", at positions 29 to 507 of the family's 1533-position model. The record is from RNAcentral.